Molecule: ribosomal RNA, 414 nt
Filed under: uncultured microorganism
Description: bacterial SSU rRNA
Rfam family: Bacterial small subunit ribosomal RNA
Source: RNAcentral
GAGUUUGAUCGUGGCUCAGAUUGAACGCUGGCGGCAUGCCUUACACAUGCAAGUCGAACGGCAGCAUGAUCUAGCUUGCUAGAUUGAUGGCGAGUGGCGAACGGGUGAGUAAUACAUCGGAACGUGCCCUGUAGUGGGGGAUAACUAGUCGAAAGAUUAGCUAAUACCGCAUACGACCUGAGGGUGAAAGUGGGGGACCGCAAGGCCUCAUGCUAUAGGAGCGGCCGAUGUCUGAUUAGCUAGUUGGUGGGUAAAGGCCCACCAAGGCGACGAUCAGUAGCUGGUCUGAGAGGACGAUCAGCCACACUGGGACUGAGACACGGCCCAGACUCCUACGGGAGGCAGCAGUGGGGAAUUUUGGACAAUGGGCGAAAGCCUGACCUAGCAAUGCCGCGUGUGUGAAGAAGGCCUCGG